RNAcentral lists this long non-coding RNA (410 nucleotides) under Equus caballus (horse). Its description in RNAcentral is "lncRNA (ENSECAG00000057642.1)". The record is from RNAcentral. Lineage: Eukaryota; Metazoa; Chordata; Mammalia; Perissodactyla; Equidae.
CUUCCCUUCUCCGGGCACAGGGAAGCUCUGGAUGAAGUUGUGAUAAAGGUUAUUUCCCCAAAGCGAAAUUUCCAGGUUAAAAUUAAAGUUUUGAUUGUACGCUACUGAAAUGCUGUAGAACCACCCAGCUUGGGCCCUGCACAAGAGGACUGGCUACUUGCCAAUCUAACUCCCAUUCAUAAGAGUGAUUUCACAGAUAACUCUGAUGACUGCCAAUGAUAAGUUGUAUUCUCAUCUAGUGAGUGGGUGUCUCGCUAAGAAAGCAGCAUCACCGAACAAAGAAGCAAGCUUAACCUAUCCAGAGAAAAGUAACACCGCGUCUAUAAAAAGGGAAGCACAGCUCACUAGUUCUCCAGAGUGAGCAAGACUGUACUUAGACAAAGAAGCUUUGACAAAAUUAUACAUUGAAG